GCCUUUGACUUUGCUCAAGUUAGGGCGAGGUUUUCCUCCUGUCCCUAACAGGGCUGUGGGGGCACAUUAGGGCAUUGUAAGGCCUCUCCUCCCAUCUGAUCUAAAAGAACCGGGCCUUUGACUUUGCUCAUGUUAGGGCGAGGUUUUCCUCCUGUCCCAAACAAGGCUGUGGGGGCACAUUAGGGCAUUGUAAGGCCUCUCCCCCCAUCCGGUCUAAAAGAAUCGGGCCUUUGACUUUGCUCACGUCAGGAUGAGGUUCUCCUCCUGUUCCUGACAUGGCUGUGUUCUUGGAGGGAUCAUAUCCAGUCAUAAUACAUCCACGCUAGGUGGGAGGAGCAUGUUAGCUAAAA
Molecule: long non-coding RNA, 350 nt
Filed under: Elaeis guineensis (African oil palm)
Lineage: Eukaryota; Viridiplantae; Streptophyta; Magnoliopsida; Arecales; Arecaceae
Description: long non-coding RNA (EGUI_LNC079089)
Source: RNAcentral